UACGGAGGAUGCGAGCGUUAUCCGGAUUUAUUGGGUUUAAAGGGUGCGUAGGCGGAUUUUUAAGUCGGCGGUAAAAUGUCCGGGCUCAACCCGGGCCGGCCGUUGAAACUGGGGAUCUUGAGUGGGCGAGAAGUAUGCGGAAUGCGUGGUGUAGCGGUGAAAUGCAUAGAUAUCACGCAGAACUCCGAUUGCGAAGGCAGCAUACCGGCGCCCGACUGACGCUGAGGCACGAAAGCGUGGGGAUCGAACAGG
RNAcentral lists this ribosomal RNA (252 nucleotides) under uncultured bacterium. RNAcentral's name for it is "partial 16S ribosomal RNA". It matches the Rfam family "Bacterial small subunit ribosomal RNA", at positions 524 to 776 of the family's 1533-position model. The record is from RNAcentral.